This 406-nucleotide ribosomal RNA is filed under the name uncultured bacterium. RNAcentral describes it as "partial 16S ribosomal RNA". It matches the Rfam family "Bacterial small subunit ribosomal RNA", at positions 30 to 526 of the family's 1533-position model. The record is from RNAcentral.
AUUGAACGCUGGCGGCAGGCCUAAUACAUGCAAGUCGAACGAGUGGCGGACGGGUGAGUAAUGUCUGGGAAACUGCCUGACGGAGGGGGAUAACUACUGUAAACGGUAGCUACUACCGCAUACCAUCCUAUGUCCUCAGGUGGGAUUAGCUAGUGGGUGGGGUAAAGGCUCACCUAGGCGAAGAUCCCUAGCUGGUCUGAGAGGGUGACCGGCCACACUGGAACUGAGACACGGUCCAGACUCCUACGGGAGGCAGCAGUGGGGAAUAUUGGGCAAUGGGCGAAAGCCUGAGGCAGCCAUGCCGCGUGUAUGAAGAAGGCCUUCGGGUUGUAAAGCACUUUCAGCGGGGAGGCGUUACUCGCAGAGGAAGCACCGGCUAACUCCGUGCCAGCCGCCGCGGUAAUUC